UACAGAGGGGGCAAGCGUUGUUCGGAAUUACUGGGCGUAAAGGGCGCGUAGGCGGCCUUCUAAGUCGGGUGUGAAAGCCCCGGGCUCAACCUGGGAAUUGCAUUCGAGACUGCAUGGCUAGGGUGCGGAAGAGGGAAGCGGAAUUUCCGGUGUAGCGGUGAAAUGCGUAGAUAUCGGAAGGAACACCAGUGGCGAAAGCGGCUUCCUGGUCCAGCACCGACGUUCAGGCACGAAAGCGUGGGGAGCAAACAGG
This 253-nucleotide ribosomal RNA is filed under the name uncultured bacterium. Its description in RNAcentral is "partial 16S ribosomal RNA". It matches the Rfam family "Bacterial small subunit ribosomal RNA", at positions 524 to 776 of the family's 1533-position model. The record is from RNAcentral.